CAGGCGAGUGACCGGACCGACACCAUCGUAUAUAGAUACGUACGCAAUACAUUACGAUAAUAACAAUAACAUUAUGAACGAUCGGUACCGGGCCGAAGGGGAAACGGGUCGUGUUUGAUUUUUUUUUUGAAUUCCGUUCAUUUUUCGGUUUUUCCUACGAUUUUCAGACGCCCGUCGGACGUACUGCGAGCCAUUCCGACGGUCCUAUAAUAUUACACAAGUUUCACACCAAAACAGGCGGCCGUCGUGUCUGAUCUCGCGGACCUGCAGCUGCAGCAUCAAUAGUAAUAGCAGUGAGCAAAAUAACAUCAUGGGUUCG
This is a non-coding RNA of Cinara cedri, 319 nucleotides long. The record is from the annotation of a GenBank genome assembly. Lineage: Eukaryota; Metazoa; Arthropoda; Insecta; Hemiptera; Aphididae.